This 948-nucleotide ribosomal RNA is filed under the name Flavihumibacter sp. Its description in RNAcentral is "bacterial SSU rRNA". It matches the Rfam family "Bacterial small subunit ribosomal RNA", at positions 66 to 1006 of the family's 1533-position model. The record is from RNAcentral. Lineage: Bacteria; Pseudomonadati; Bacteroidota; Chitinophagia; Chitinophagales; Chitinophagaceae.
GGGGCAGCACAGGGUAGCAAUACCUGGGUGGCGACCGGCAAACGGGUGCGGAACACGUACAGAACCUUUCCUUUCGAGCGGGGAAUAGCCCAGAGAAAUUUCGGAUUAAUACCCCAUAGCAUAAUGGAGUCGGCAUCACUUUGUUAUUAAAGAUUUAUCACUUGAAGAUGGCUGUGCGUAUGAUUAGGUAGUUGGCGGGGUAACGGCCCACCAAGCCUACGAUCAUUAACUGGUGUGAGAGCACGACCAGUCACACGGGCACUGAGACACGGGCCCGACUCCUACGGGAGGCAGCAGUAAGGAAUAUUGGUCAAUGGACGCAAGUCUGAACCAGCCAUGCCGCGUGGAGGAUGAAGGUCCUCUGGAUUGUAAACUUCUUUUAUCUGGGACGAAAAAAGGGAAUUCUUUCUCGUCUGACGGUACCAGAUGAAUAAGCACCGGCUAACUCCGUGCCAGCAGCCGCGGUAAUACGGAGGGUGCAAGCGUUAUCCGGAUUCACUGGGUUUAAAGGGUGCGUAGGCGGGUAUGUAAGUCCGUGGUGAAAUCUCCGAGCUUAACUCGGAAACUGCCAUGGGUACUGCGUAUCUUGAAUGUUGUGGAGGUGAGCGGAAUAUGUCAUGUAGCGGUGAAAUGCUUAGAUAUGACAUAGAACACCAAUUGCGAAGGCAGCUCACUACACAAAUAUUGACGCUGAGGCACGAAAGCGUGGGGAUCAAACAGGAUUAGAUACCCUGGUAGUCCACGCCCUAAACGAUGAUUACUCGACAUACGUGAUACACAAUGUGUGUCUGAGCGAAAGCAUUAAGUAAUCCACCUGGGAAGUACGACCGCAAGGUUGAAACUCAAAGGAAUUGACGGGGGUCCGCACAAGCGGUGGACAUGUGGUUUAAUUCGAUGAUACGCGAGGAACCUUACCUGGGCUAAAAUGCUGGGAAACCGUGGGUGAAA